Molecule: ribosomal RNA, 1286 nt
Filed under: metagenome
Description: bacterial SSU rRNA
Rfam family: Bacterial small subunit ribosomal RNA
Source: RNAcentral
UAGCUAGUUGGUGAGGUAACGGCUUACCAAGGCGACGAUCUGUAGCGGGUCUGAGAGGAUGAUCCGCCACACUGGAACUGAGACACGGUCCAGACUCCUACGGGAGGCAGCAGUGGGGAAUUUUGGACAAUGGGGGCAACCCUGAUCCAGCCAUGCCGCGUGAGUGAAGAAGGCCUUCGGGUUGUAAAGCUCUUUCGGCCGGGAAGAAAUCGCAUGGGCCAAUACCCUGUGUGGAUGACGGUACCGGAAUAAGAAGCACCGGCUAACUACGUGCCAGCAGCCGCGGUAAUACGUAGGGUGCGAGCGUUAAUCGGAAUUACUGGGCGUAAAGCGUGCGCAGGCGGUUUUGUAAGACAGGCGUGAAAUCCCCGGGCUCAACCUGGGAACUGCGUUUGUGACUGCAAGGCUAGAGUACGGCAGAGGGGGGUGGAAUUCCACGUGUAGCAGUGAAGUGCGUAGAGAUGUGGAGGAACACCAAUGGCGAAGGCAGCCCCCUGGGUCGAUACUGACGCUCAUGCACGAAAGCGUGGGUAGCAAACAGGAUUAGAUACCCUGGUAGUCCACGCCCUAAACUAUGUCAACUAGGUGUUGGGUGGGUAAAACCAUUUAGUACCGUAGCUAACGCGUGAAGUUGACCGCCUGGGGAGUACGGCCGCAAGGUUAAAACUCAAAGGAAUUGACGGGGACCCGCACAAGCGGUGGAUGAUGUGGAUUAAUUCGAUGCAACGCGAAAAACCUUACCUACCCUUGACAUGCCAGGAACUUGCCAGAGAUGGCUUGGUGCCCGAAAGGGAGCCUGGACACAGGUGCUGCAUGGCUGUCGUCAGCUCGUGUCGUGAGAUGUUGGGUUAAGUCCCGCAACGAGCGCAACCCUUGUCGUUAAUUGCCAUCAUUUAGUUGGGCACUUUAGCGAGACUGCCGGUGACAAACCGGAGGAAGGUGGGGAUGACGUCAAGUCCUCAUGGCCCUUAUGGGUAGGGCUUCACACGUCAUACAAUGGUCGGUACAGAGGGUCGCCAAGCCGCGAGGUGGAGCCAAUCCCAGAAAGCCGAUCGUAGUCCGGAUUGCAGGCUGCAACUCGCCUGCAUGAAGUCGGAAUCGCUAGUAAUCGUGGAUCAGCAUGUCACGGUGAAUACGUUCCCGGGUCUUGUACACACCGCCCGUCACACCAUGGGAGCGGGUUCCGCCAGAAGUAGGUAGCCUAACCGCAAGGAGGGCGCUUACCACGGCGGGGUUCGUGACUGGGGUGAAGUCGGAACAAGGUAGCCGUAGGGGUCCUGCGGCUG